GGCUGUUAAGUGAGAGCUGAUUAGCCUGAAGAUCAACAUGUGCCAGCAGCUGUGGGCUUGCGAGUCAUUUGUCAGCGUGCUGGAGCACCUUCUUGCUGUGGGCAAUUACCUCAACCAGAAUGCAGGCAGGGAGAGGGCCAAGGGAUUUUGCUUCUCAUCCUUAACUAAGCUCCCUCAGCUGCGUGGGAACAAUCGGAAGUUCACCUUGCUGCAUGCCCUAGUGGAGCAGAUCAUGUUGCAAGAACCACGUUUGGCCACCUUUUUCCUUGAGCUUGUGGAAUUCGACCUCAGUUAAAGGCCUGACAGCAGAGGUGGACGAUGGUCAUCGAGAAGUAUGAGAGUGAUCUCAGCCAGCUGAUGAAGAGGAGUGAAGAGAUGAGGAAGCUCU
This is a long non-coding RNA of Xyrauchen texanus (razorback sucker), 388 nucleotides long. RefSeq lists it as uncharacterized. The record is from RefSeq and is a predicted model, not a curated record. The transcript has 5 exons. Lineage: Eukaryota; Metazoa; Chordata; Actinopteri; Cypriniformes; Catostomidae.